GGUAGAGGGAAGCUCAUCAGUGGGGCCAUGAGCUGAGUGCCUUGCAUCACUCCAGCCCAUGUUACCUGGGAAGGUCUGGGACUAGAGCCAAAAGUGGCCCUAACAGGAUCCUCCCCGGGUUUCAAAAGAGGUGAGUUUUCAGAGAAUGCAGCUUGUUGCUCCUGAGGGCGGACUGGGUAGGAGAUGCAGUGGACCCUGCCCUUGGGGACGGGCCUGGCUUGGGAAGGGGCCUGGCAGAUGCCUCCUUAGCCUGAGCCUGGAACAGAUUCUCACAGCCAGGGAGACGAGUUCAAUGGCUGCGGUGAGGUACCCUGCCCGGGGGCCUCAUAACCCAAUUCAGAUCACUUUUCCCUAUC
This 356-nucleotide RNase P RNA is filed under the name Zalophus californianus (California sea lion). RNAcentral describes it as "Nuclear RNase P (ENSZCAG00015025029.1)". It matches the Rfam family "Nuclear RNase P". Rfam says of the family: Ribonuclease P (RNase P) is a ubiquitous endoribonuclease, found in archaea, bacteria and eukarya as well as chloroplasts and mitochondria. Its best characterised activity is the generation of mature 5'-ends of tRNAs by cleaving the 5'-leader elements of precursor-tRNAs. Lineage: Eukaryota; Metazoa; Chordata; Mammalia; Carnivora; Otariidae. The record is from RNAcentral.